This is a small nucleolar RNA of Jaculus jaculus (lesser Egyptian jerboa), 131 nucleotides long. Its record names the gene SNORA70. It matches the Rfam family "Small nucleolar RNA SNORA70". From Rfam's summary of the family: snoRNA U70 seems to be exclusive to mammals and is a member of the H/ACA class of snoRNA which contain H (ANANNA) and ACA box motifs. H/ACA box snoRNAs are involved in the conversion of uridines to pseudouridines (5-ribosyluracil) a constituent of structural RNAs (transfer, ribosomal, small nuclear, and small nucleolar). The record is from Ensembl. NCBI's taxonomy places the organism in Eukaryota, Metazoa, Chordata, Mammalia, Rodentia, Dipodidae.
CUGCAGCCAACUAAGCUGACUGGGUUCCUGUCCUCAUGGGGUGCGAGGUGCGGUGUCAGAAUGCAGCAGCCUCUUUGAAGUGUAGCAAUUGUUGCUUGUACAGGUUGCCCCAACGUACCUUGAAGACAGUU